AAACCAACAGGGAUUGCCUUAGUAGCGGCGAGUGAAGCGGCAAAAGCUCAAAUUUGAAAUCUGGCGCCUUCGGUGUCCGAGUUGUAAUUUGAAGAUUGUAACCUUGGGGUUGGCUCUUGUCUAUGUUUCUUGGAACAGGACGUCACAGAGGGUGAGAAUCCCGUGCGAUGAGAUGCCCAAUUCUAUGUAAGGUGCUUUCGAAGAGUCGAGUUGUUUGGGAAUGCAGCUCUAAGUGGGUGGUAAAUUCCAUCUAAAGCUAAAUAUUGGCGAGAGACCGAUAGCGAACAAGUACAGUGAUGGAAAGAUGAAAAGAACUUUGAAAAGAGAGUGAAAAAGUACGUGAAAUUGUUGAAAGGGAAGGGUUUGAGAUCAGACUCGAUAUUUUGUGAGCCUUGCCUUCGUGGCGGGGUGACCCGCAGCUUAUCGGGCCAGCAUCGGUUUGGGCGGUAGGAUAAUGGCGUAGGAAUGUGACUUUACUUCGGUGAAGUGUUAUAGCCUGCGUUGAUGCUGCCUGCCUAGACCGAGGACUGCGAUUUUAUCAAGGAUGCUGGCAUAAUGAUCCCAAACCGCCCGUCUU
This 577-nucleotide ribosomal RNA is filed under the name Meyerozyma guilliermondii. Its description in RNAcentral is "eukaryotic LSU rRNA". It matches the Rfam family "Eukaryotic large subunit ribosomal RNA", at positions 62 to 655 of the family's 3401-position model. Lineage: Eukaryota; Fungi; Ascomycota; Pichiomycetes; Serinales; Debaryomycetaceae. The record is from RNAcentral.